This is a long non-coding RNA of Polyodon spathula (Mississippi paddlefish), 885 nucleotides long. RefSeq lists it as uncharacterized. NCBI's taxonomy places the organism in Eukaryota, Metazoa, Chordata, Actinopteri, Acipenseriformes, Polyodontidae. The record is from RefSeq and is a predicted model, not a curated record. The transcript has 3 exons.
UCUGGUCAAAGAUGUCUUCCUGGUGAAACGCAGCGGGUUUCAUGUCAACAUGUCCCUGUUUCGGCUCUGCUCGCUUUCCAAGGGGCUCCCCGGUCGCUUACUGCAAGAACAGCACAGGCUCAGUCUGUGUCACGGUUGCCUAAAACUCAGGAGACACGUCCACGACGCAAGACCAGCAGAACAAGCAAUAUGAUCACCCCUAGACACUGUUACCCUGCAUGAUUAUUUUCAAUCUUUUAGUUCAGAGAGACCCUGAGUUUUGUUUUGGAGGAGUUACUUAGCAGGGAUCCCGAAAAAGGAGGACGGGAAAAAGAGCACGUGGUAGCAAACCCAGCUGUUGGAUGAUAAGAUUGCUGUUCAUCUCAGACCAUGCGGCUGUGCCAAUCUGAGUAGUACCGAGUCAUGUUGUGCAGGAUCACACAGUACUAGACUAUAUACUGUACAAGCCCCCCAAGCUUCAUAAAGGUUCACCUGGCUUGUGCAAGCCUAAUUACAGUCUCUCGGUAUACAGGGAUGGAAAUAAGACUCACCCAUAAGAUUCACCCAUUCCAGGUUCAAUAUGAGUUUGAUUAGCCACUGUUUCUAGAUAAGAAACUCAAGUGUGUCUUAUUAAACUAGUAGUGUAACCAAGAAUAAAUCAAACUGCUAUACAAUGGGAGUCUUAUUUCCAUUCUUGGUGUAUACUAUAGACAACCUCUGAGCACCUGUAGUCUUGUUUCUUCCCCAGUUCUGGAUGCCAGGAAUCAGCAGCUGCAGAUGGACGAUGUGCUGGAUGUGAAGCGCUCAGAGGUGCAGUUUGUGAGGGCGUCCCAGGUGGAAGGCACCCCAGUCAAGUCAAAGACACUGGCCAAGGAGAGGGAAUCCCUGGGUGCCAGGAAGGGGGGG